RNAcentral lists this ribosomal RNA (330 nucleotides) under uncultured eukaryote. Its description in RNAcentral is "partial 18S ribosomal RNA". It matches the Rfam family "Eukaryotic small subunit ribosomal RNA", at positions 1470 to 1796 of the family's 1831-position model. The record is from RNAcentral.
CCCUUAGAUGUUCUGGGCCGCACGCGCGCUACACUGAUGCAUUCAACGAGUCUAAAACCUGGUCUGAUAGGGCUGGGUAAUCUUUUGAAUGUGCAUCGUGAUUGGGAUAGAUGAUUGCAAUUCUUCAUCUUCAACGAGGAAUGCCUAGUAAACGCAAGUCAUCAGCUUGCAUUGAUUACGUCCCUGCCCUUUGUACACACCGCCCGUCGCUCCUACCGAUUGAAUGUUCCGAUGAAUACCAUGGACUGAGAGUAUGAAUGGGUUCGCCUACUUCUGCUUCUCGGGAAGUGGAGUAAAUCUUAACAUUUAGAGGAAGGAGAAGUCGUAACA